RNAcentral lists this long non-coding RNA (1123 nucleotides) under Pan paniscus (pygmy chimpanzee). RNAcentral's name for it is "lncRNA (ENSPPAG00000045392.1)". Lineage: Eukaryota; Metazoa; Chordata; Mammalia; Primates; Hominidae. The record is from RNAcentral.
GGUGCGUUUGCCGUGCUGUGAGUCCGGGGCGCUCAUCCCUGCAUGUGGAGGCUUCUGGGACCCUGCCUGGGAUGACUUUUUUUUUCUUAAAUUUUUACAGAAACGAGUAUCUUAUAUUUCAGAAGAUCAUUAAGUUGGAAUAUGACUUUCCAGAAAAAUUCUUCCCUAAGGCAAGAGACCUCGUGGAGAAACUUUUGGUUUUAGAUGCCACAAAGCGGUUAGGCUGUGAGGAAAUGGAAGGGUACGGACCUCUUAAAGCACACCCGUUCUUCGAGUCCGUCACGUGGGAGAACCUGCACCAGCAGACGCCUCCGAAGCUCACCGCUUACCUGCCGGCUAUGUCGGAAGACGACGAGGACUGCUAUGGCAAUGAUCCCAGAGGAACCCACAUAUGGGACAUGGCAGCUCAGGACAACACCCAGCCACCUACGUGGGACAGGGCCACGCAGGAUAGAGACAAGGAGACGAGGGCCUCAGAGACACAGGCUUCCCGGCCCCGCAUGGGUCCCGCACAGCCCCCUUCUCCAGCACCGAGGACGUGAGUGGCUGCCUCAGAGGUGGGUUAAAGGUGAGCCUGGGUGGCAGGGCCUUGGUCUGUGUCUAGCGCCUGUUUCUGAGCCAAUCCCACUAGGGGCAGACUGAGAUAAUACGAAGCCUCGACUCGAGCGGCUCCACGACAGAACACAAGCGGCUGCCCAGAGAGAGUACAUGUGAAAGACAUUCCCUGCCAAAGAGACAGGAGUGGGCAUCAUGGCUCACAGCCUCAGAGCAGGGCCAGGGCUGGGCCACAGCCCCCGUCACUCCACACCCCGCGUGAACUCGGAGGAGGCAGGCAGAUGCCGAGGCCCACAGGCCCAGAACAGAAACGGAGUCAGACGUUGCCCAGUGCAGACCGAUGCGCAGACACGGACCUGGGGGAGCAGGGCCACACCCGCACGCAGGUACCCAGAAACCCUCAGCCUUCACGGCGAGGCCUCGGGCUGUUCUGAGCCAAGCCAGCACCGCAGCACACAGGCAGGCCAGCCUGGGCCCAACGCGUGUGGGCGCCGUCCCUGCACCACGACCACUCAGAAUGGAACACGGCAGCUGGCAGCAGCAGGCACAGUCCAGGUGAUGGCACAGA